GAUGAACGCUGGCGGCGUGCCUAAUACAUGCAAGUCGAGCGAACAGACGAGGAUCUUGCUCCUCUGACGUUAGCGGCGGACGGGUGAGUAACACGUGGAUAACCUACCUAUAAGACUGGGAUAACUUCGGGAAACCGGAGCUAAUACCGGAUAAUCUAUUGAACCGCAUGGUUCAAUAGUGAAAGACGGUUUUGCUGUCACUUAUAGAUGGAUCCGCGCCGCAUUAGCUAGUUGUUAAGGUAACGGCUUACCAAGGCAACGAUGCGUAGCCGAACUGAGAGGGUGAUCGGCGACACGGGAAGUGAGACACGGACAAGAGUCCUAAGGGAGGCAGCAGUAGGGAAUCGGACGCAAUGGGCGAAAGCAUGACGGAGCAACGCCGAGUGAGUGAUGAAGGUCUUCGGAUCGUAAAACUCUGUUAUGAGGGAAGAACAAAUGUGUAAGUAACUAUGCACGUAUUGACGGUACCUAAUCAGAAAGCCACGGCUAACUACGUG
Molecule: ribosomal RNA, 497 nt
Filed under: uncultured bacterium
Lineage: Bacteria
Description: partial 16S ribosomal RNA
Rfam family: Bacterial small subunit ribosomal RNA
Source: RNAcentral